This 425-nucleotide ribosomal RNA is filed under the name uncultured bacterium. Its description in RNAcentral is "bacterial SSU rRNA". It matches the Rfam family "Bacterial small subunit ribosomal RNA", at positions 30 to 457 of the family's 1533-position model. The record is from RNAcentral.
AUUGAACGCUGGCGGCAUGCCUUACACAUGCAAGUCGAACGGUAACAGCACUUCGGUGGCUGACGAGUGGCGAACGGGUGAGUAAUACAUCGGAACGUGCCCGAGAGUGGGGGAUAACGCAGCGAAAGCUGUGCUAAUACCGCAUACGAUCUACGGAUGAAAGCAGGGGAUUCGCAAGGACCUUGCGCUAUCAGAUGAGCCUGCGUAGGAUUAGCUUGUUGGUGAGGUAAAGGCUCACCAAGGCGACGAUCCUUAGCUGGUCUGAGAGGAUGAUCAGCCACACUGGAACUGAGACACGGUUCAGACUCCUACGGGAGGCAGCAGUGGGGAAUAUUGGACAAUGGGCGAAAGCCUGAUCCAGCCACGCCGCGUGGGUGAUGAAGGCCUCGGUUGUAAGACCUCGUCGGGAGGGACGGAAGUACAAU